UAACCCAUUCAAUUAAAUUAUUCCAUUUAAUUAAAAGCAACAAGCAAUACAUUGAAACAGAACUACUGCUACACAUGAAUUAGUUUGGAAUAACAUGUUACUUACAGACAACCCGCCUAAUCUUCAUAGACCCUAACUAGCAGAGUAUAAAACAAAAUGGACAUAUUCUAGUCUUUCAUUCAAUUGUUGCCAGCUUCUCUUCGUCUAUCUCAAAAGCCUUCCUGACUUGUUUCAGCUCCUCAUUCAGAGCAAAAUGUUAAUAAAUAUUUAAGCAGACCCAAGUAAAUAAUGCAAAUAAUUACUUUUAACAGCUCUGUUAAGCAGACCCAACUCUAUUGUGUAAUAAUUACUCUACCUUAUUAGAAAAACAAAGAAAGCUCAUCAGACCACCACAAAAAUAAACAAACCAAAAGCAAAGAAAACCCUAAACACCCAUAUGCCAUAUAUAGACAAAUCGACAUAAAUAAAGAAAAAUCAAUUGACUAAAUCUCAAAAUAACCUCAAAAUUAUCAAAGAAAAAUUUGAAUUCUGGAGUUGGACGGCAGCGAUGCCAUGAGUCGGCGACUGAUGAGUGAAGAUUGAAGACGGAAGAGUGAAUCAGAAAUGAGUCAGAGGUUGGCCUGGUGGGAGAUCCGGAUCGGAGAAUUCGAGAUGGAGAGACAAAGGAUCGAGAUGGAUAUGAUCCGAGGACUGAGGUUCGAGAUGGAGAGAAAUGUUUGGGCAUAAACUCAACAAAGUGAACUGAAGGCUAAAGCUAAACACUGAAAUUAAGUGAAAUAUUUUUAAAUAAAUCGGUAUAAUCAGCUCAGUUCGGUAUAUACCAAUCGAGCCAAACCCCCUACCGUAACCGGUCCCGAAAAUCCAAUAUGUAUCGGUUUCGCGUAUCGGUACCGGACCGAUUACGUUCUGUCCCGAACCAACCGGUUCGAUUUUCUUAAAAAUCGAAUAUACCAAUUUUUUUGCACAUCCUUAGCCCAAGGGCGAGGAGGAAUUAAGCAUGCCCGCGAGAAAAUUACUGGAUCAAGAAACCGAUUAGCUUUUGGCUGCUGAAGUUUCUUUGGGAGUUGGAAGGGAGCUUGGAUUUUCUUUACUCGAUACCUCCUUACUACUCGAUUUAAUAUCUUUCUCCUUGGUGCUCGGUCUAGGCUCUUUCUUUUUAGGGCUCAG
Molecule: long non-coding RNA, 1167 nt
Filed under: Panax ginseng (ginseng)
Lineage: Eukaryota; Viridiplantae; Streptophyta; Magnoliopsida; Apiales; Araliaceae
Description: long non-coding RNA (PGIN_LNC014506)
Source: RNAcentral